GCCUGUUACCCUCACUUGCAUCUUUGAUCUUGCCUGUCUACCAUCCCAUGAUUGCUUUCUUUUGUUUAUGUACUUGGAAUAAUUACCUGUGCACUGUUGGAUGUAUUUCAUUUCAGUUCUGGACUUGCCACUUGGAUUGUUGGACAUGUGAACCUACCACCUCACUUGAGGACUGACCAUGAUGGACCCAGCAGACGCUAUUUCUGAUGAACUUUUGGACUUUGUUUGUGAUCUAAUAGAGUUAAAGGCAAUAUAGAGAAAGGCCAUCACUAUCAUUCAUAGAGAAGCAGUUUUGUCCUUCGUUAGUCCUGAUCCUGUCCAGCUUCACUGUCUGCUAGCACCCAGCCUGCCAGAAACCAGCCUAUUGGCCACUAGCCUUUGCUCUGACCUAGUAGCAAUCUGCCUACAUCCGUGCCUGCUAGCAGCCAGCCAGUUAUGCAGUCUGCAAGCAUCCAGGCCACCAGCCUCCAGCUUGCUAUCAGUCUGCUUCAGCUGGCCAGCGCUCCAGAAACUGUGCUAGCCAGAUUCCCAGAAACAUUGAUGGCCAGCUCCACAGAGACUCAGGUGACCAGCGCCUCAGAGAUUAUGCUAUUCAGCCUCCCAGAGACUAAACUGGCCAGCUGAACAGCUUAACAGUAAUUCAGUUGCCCUGUGUUCCAGAGACUCAGCUGAUCUGCUCUUCAGAGACUUCUCCAUCCAGCUUCACAUAGACUCAGCUGAUUACCAAGCGAGAGACUCAGUUGCUCUGUUCCACUGGAUUGUCACCAGUUUUGUCUGGUUCUCAGACAAAUGCUGGCCUGCAGCAACACCCUGACUUUGUUGAGCUACUGCUACUUCCUGUCACUACUGAGUUUAAGCAACCCCACGUCCCUGAGCGAGAACUGCAGCCAUCCCUACUCCCUCCUGCCUAACUCCCUGUUGUAGCCAAUCUCCAAUCCUGUUGCCCUGUCGCUGGCCUUCAGCUCUGACUCCAGAUACCAGCUAACCAGCCCAGCUGCUCUGUCACUGGCCUCCAGUCCAGCAAUCCUGCCUCCUGGCUGCCCUCCCUCUUGUUCUGUUCUGUUCUUUGACUCAGACUCCUGGUCCUGGUUUUCAGUCACGUCGCCGGCCUGGGAGCCAUUCCUUGAUGGGGGCAAGUAAAAAUAAGAAAACUGAACUUGCUGGCUUGGUGUUCCUGCGUCUGGGUCCAAAUCCCUGUUUUUCCCCUGUCUGCCCUCUAGUAAUUCCCAAAAUGUCAAACAAUUCCUUUACAAAAAUACAAGUGGAUGGUUCCCAGCUACAAAUAAAAAAGAAGAGACAGAAUUUGAUUAAAGUUUAAUUUUCAGUGACAAAAUCAAAAAUAACAGUAUUCAAAGGAAGUAAAGUCUUCAACAACCCUG
Molecule: long non-coding RNA, 1379 nt
Organism: Micropterus dolomieu (smallmouth bass)
Lineage: Eukaryota; Metazoa; Chordata; Actinopteri; Centrarchiformes; Centrarchidae
Exons: 3
Source: RefSeq, a predicted model, not a curated record